RNAcentral lists this ribosomal RNA (247 nucleotides) under uncultured cyanobacterium. RNAcentral describes it as "partial 16S ribosomal RNA". It matches the Rfam family "Bacterial small subunit ribosomal RNA", at positions 796 to 1041 of the family's 1533-position model. The record is from RNAcentral. Lineage: Bacteria; Bacillati; Cyanobacteriota.
CUAGCCGUAAACGAUGGACACUAGAUGUUGCCCGUAUAGACCCGGGCAGUGUCGUAGCUAACGCGUUAAGUGUCCCGCCUGGGGAGUAUGCACGCAAGUGUGAAACUCAAAGGAAUUGACGGGGGCCCGCACAAGCGGUGGAGUAUGUGGUUUAAUUCGAUGCAACGCGAAGAACCUUACCAGGGCUUGACAUGUCGCGAACCCCGCUGAAAGGUGGGGGUGCCUUCGGGAGCGCGAACACAGGUGG